RNAcentral lists this non-coding RNA (161 nucleotides) under uncultured Faecalimonas sp. RNAcentral's name for it is "Lysine riboswitch". It matches the Rfam family "Lysine riboswitch aptamer". From Rfam's summary of the family: Riboswitches are metabolite binding domains within certain messenger RNAs that serve as precision sensors for their corresponding targets. The record is from RNAcentral. Lineage: Bacteria; Bacillati; Bacillota; Clostridia; Lachnospirales; Lachnospiraceae.
AAGAUAGAGGCGCGGUUUUAAAUAGUAUGACUUUACAUGAAGGCUGGACGAGCUGUUAAGUCGGAAAGGUACAACCGCCGAAGAAAGAUUUCUUAGUCCGAGAAAUUUUUCUGGGACGACGCAAAAUAUGCGGCGAACUGUCACAGGUGUGGAGAGCUAUC